This 1485-nucleotide ribosomal RNA is filed under the name uncultured Bordetella sp. RNAcentral's name for it is "partial 16S-23S ribosomal RNA intergenic spacer". It matches the Rfam family "Bacterial small subunit ribosomal RNA". The record is from RNAcentral. Lineage: Bacteria; Pseudomonadati; Pseudomonadota; Betaproteobacteria; Burkholderiales; Alcaligenaceae.
GGUUUGAUUAUCUUCGGCUCAGAUUGAACGCUGGCAGGAUGCUUUACACAUGCAAGUCGAACAGCACGGACUUCGGUCUGGUGGCGAGUGGCGAACGGGUGAGUAAUGUAUCGGAACGUGCCUAGUAGCGGGGGAUAACUACGCGAAAAUGUCCAGCCAAUACCGCAUACGCCCUUCGGGGGAAAGCGGGGGACCCUUCCGGGCCUCACGCGCCAAUGAAGCGGCCGAUAUCGGAUUAGCUAGUUGGUGGGGUAACGGCUCACCAAGGCGACGAUCCGUAGCUGGUUUGAGAGGACGACCAGCCGCACUGGGACUGAGACACGGCCCAGACUCCUGCGGGAGGCAGCAGUGGGGAAUUUUUGGACAAUGGGGAAACCCUGAUCCAGCCAUCCCGCGUGUGCGAUGAGCCUUCAGGUUGUAAAGCACUUUUGGCAGGAAAGAAACGGCACGGGAUAAUACCCCGUGCAAUGACCAAUACCUGCAGAAUAAGCACCGGCUAACUACGUGCCAGCAGCCGCGGUAAUACGUAGGGUGCAAGCGUUAAUCGGAAUUACUGGGCGUAAAGCGUGCGCAGGCGGUUCGGAAAGAAGAUGUGAAAUCCCAGAGCUUGCUUUGGAACUGCAUUUUUAACUACCGAGCUAGAGUGUGUCAGAGGGAGGUGGAAUUCCGCGUGUAGCAGUGAAAUGCGUAGAUAUGCGGAGGAACACCGAUGGCGAAGGCAGCCUCCUGGGAUAACACUGACGCUCAUGCACGAAAGCAUAGAACAUAGAACAGGAUUAGAUACCCUGGUAGUCCACGCCUAAACGAUGUCAAUAGCUGUUGGGCCUUCCGGGCCUUGGUAGCGCAACUAACGCGUGAAGUUGACCGCCUGGGGAGUACGGUCGCAAGAUUAAAACUCAAAGGAAUUGACAGGGACCCGCACAAGCGGUGGAUGAUGUGGAUUAAUUCGAUGCAACGCGAAAACCUUACCUACCCUUGACAUGUCUGGAAUCCCGAAGAGAUUUGGGAGUGCUCGCAAAAGAGAACCGGAACACAGGUGCUGCAUGGCUGUCGUCAGCUCGUGUCGUGAGAUGUUGGGUUAAGUCCCACCAACGAGCGCAACCCUUGUCAUUAGUUGCUACGAAAGGGCACUCUAAUGAGACUGCCGGUGACAAACCGGAGGAAGGUGGGGAUGACGUCAAGUCCUCAUGGCCCUUAUGGGUAGGGCUUCACACGUCAUACAAUGGUCGGGACAGAGGGUCGCCAACCCGCGAGGAGCCAAUCCCAGAAACCCGAUCGUAGUCAGGAUCGCGGUCUGCAACUCGACUGCGUGAAGUCGGAAUCGCUAACGUCGCGGAUCGGCAUGUCGCGGUAGAUACGUUCCCGGGUCUUGUACACACCGCCCGUCACACCAUGGGGGUGGGUUUGCAAGUAGUUAGCCUAACCGUAAGGAGGCGAUUACCACGGUAGGAUUCAUGACUGGGGUGAAGUCGUAACAAAAUUUGG